AGGCGCCCCUGCAGAUAUGCAUAUCAAUAAGCGGAGGAAGCACUCCCUAGCCGCACCGGCAGAUAUCCAUAUCAAUAAGCGGAGGAAGUUUCCCUAGGCGCAUAGGAAGAUUUCCAUAUCGAUCCGCCGAGAAAGCCUCCCUAGGCGCAGAUAAAGAUUCACAACGCAAUAAACCGAAAAAAUCUCCGUAAACUCAAAAAUACACUUCACCAUCGAAUCAAAUGACCACACCUCGCGCCCCUUGUAAUUCCACGGCCACGCCUAUUCAAGCGCCAUUUCUCCAUUCAAGCUUUGCUUGCCGUUGGGUGUUUGUCCUCUCCCUAGUGUUUGGACUCGCCUAAAAACAAUUGGCAGCAAGUGUUUUGGUUUUGAAGCGCAGCACAAGUCGCGAUUCUAACCCAAUAACACUUGCGUCCAGAAGUCUUUUUUCACUUUUGACCUCGGAUCAGGUAGGGAUACCCGCUGACCUUAAGCAUAUCAAUAAGCGGAGGA
RNAcentral lists this ribosomal RNA (492 nucleotides) under fungal sp. Its description in RNAcentral is "eukaryotic LSU rRNA". Lineage: Eukaryota; Fungi. The record is from RNAcentral.